AAGACUAUACUUUCAGGGAUCACUUCUAUAGUAUGUGACUAGAGAAGUUUCUCUGAUCAUGUAGAGCACCCGAAACCACGAGGAGGAGCCAGACUGUCCUCUUCUGAGCAUCAAGUUGGUUGGUUGUAGGUGUUGCUUCUGUGACUGCCUUUGGCCAUUGGUGAUCAUUCUUCCCUUCCUUUGGAGAGGGAGAGGAUGCAGUCUGAAAGGU
Molecule: small nucleolar RNA, 211 nt
Organism: Suncus etruscus (white-toothed pygmy shrew)
Lineage: Eukaryota; Metazoa; Chordata; Mammalia; Eulipotyphla; Soricidae
Product: small nucleolar RNA U3
Exons: 1
Source: RefSeq, a predicted model, not a curated record